RNAcentral lists this ribosomal RNA (571 nucleotides) under uncultured bacterium. Its description in RNAcentral is "partial 16S ribosomal RNA". It matches the Rfam family "Bacterial small subunit ribosomal RNA", at positions 355 to 918 of the family's 1533-position model. The record is from RNAcentral.
UGGGGAAUUUUGGACAAUGGGCGAAAGCCUGAUCCAGCAAUGCCGCGUGUGUGAAGAAGGCCUUCGGGUUGUAAAGCACUUUUGUCCGGAAAGAAAUCCUCUGGGUUAAUACCUCGGGGGGAUGACGGUACCGGAAGAAUAAGCACCGGCUAACUACGUGCCAGCAGCCGCGGUAAUACGUAGGGUGCAAGCGUUAAUCGGAAUUACUGGGCGUAAAGCGUGCGCAGGCGGUUUUGUAAGACGGAUGUGAAAUCCCCGGGCUUAACCUGGGAACUGCAUUCGUGACUGCAAGGCUAGAGUAUGGCAGAGGGGGGUAGAAUUCCACGUGUAGCAGUGAAAUGCGUAGAGAUGUGGAGGAAUACCGAUGGCGAAGGCAGCCCCCUGGGCCAAUACUGACGCUCAUGCACGAAAGCGUGGGGAGCAAACAGGAUUAGAUACCCUGGUAGUCCACGCCCUAAACGAUGUCAACUAGUUGUUGGGGAUUCAUUUCCUUAGUAACGUAGCUAACGCGUGAAGUUGACCGCCUGGGGGAGUACGGUCGCAAGAUUAAAACUCAAAUGAAUUGACGGGG